CGUGCCUCCGGUCGCUCAGCCGCAGACCGCCUCUACCCGGGCCGGCUCUCACCUGUGUCGGAGGCGGUCUCCACCCUAACUGGGUCUGACCAAGUGCUCCAGGGGCCUUGGGGGAAGAGACAAGGGAAAAGGAAGAAGAGUCAAGGAGGAUUCCAUGCUUGGGUAACUGGCAAACCCUGCCUGUCCCUGGGCGGUGCAGGAGCAGAAGUCUGCCCAGGGAGUGCACUCCCUCCUGAGGGCUGACAACAGCCUGGAGCAGUCCCAGACCCUUGGCAAAGCCUCCAAAGGCCCAUGGAUCUUGACUUUGCUGUGCCCCUUCAUUUCUCACUGCCUUGACACCACUGGUCCCCCUGGCACCACAACUGGCAGUUUCUAGAACAGACCAUAACCUGCAGGUGUG
Rhinolophus ferrumequinum (greater horseshoe bat) is the source of this 400-nucleotide long non-coding RNA. RefSeq lists it as uncharacterized. The transcript is spliced from 3 exons. The record is from RefSeq and is a predicted model, not a curated record. NCBI's taxonomy places the organism in Eukaryota, Metazoa, Chordata, Mammalia, Chiroptera, Rhinolophidae.